CAAGUACCGCGAGGUAAAGAU
Molecule: small nuclear RNA, 21 nt
Filed under: Arabidopsis thaliana (thale cress)
Lineage: Eukaryota; Viridiplantae; Streptophyta; Magnoliopsida; Brassicales; Brassicaceae
Description: snRNA_13771
Source: RNAcentral